GCAGCACACAGUACAGACUAGCUGCAGUCGUGUCUCAUCUGGGCCGCAGUUUGUAUUGUGGGCACUACGUCAGUCACAUCCGUGACUUCACUGGAUCUGGAUGGCUGGAAUGCAGUGACACCAGCAUCAGAAGAUCCAGCUGGUCAAAGGCGUCGAGUAACAUCGCAAAGAACGGAUACAUGCUCUUCUAUGUGAAGAGCUCAGCUGCAGUUGGUUGAUGCUGUUUUAAAGAAGAAGGGAACCACAUCUAAAGCCAAAAAUCAGCCUUUAGUGAAGAUCCUUCUGUGGUUCCUCCGGCUUCCAGCCUCCAAGUGCCGAUUCAUCUGCCUUCUUUGAUUGCUGCUGGUCAUCAUGGGAAUCACAUCUUUAUAGAUAGAUAGAGAAGUAAAUAGAAUGAUAGAUAGAACUAUAGAACAAUAGAUGGAACAACACAGAGACAGAUAGAUAGAUGGAUGAUAGACCAAUAUGUAGAACAAUACAUAUAAUAAAUAGAGUGAUAUACAGACAGAUGAAAUAGAGAAUGAUGAUUAGAGACAUUUGAAACGCAGCAGCAGCAUCUUAUAAUCAGUGUUUGUGCUGAACAGGUGGAAGCAUCAGACGGCAGCAGCAGCACACAGUACAGACUAGCUGCAGUCGUGUCUCAUCUGGGCCGCAGUUUGUAUUGUGGGCACUACGUCAGUCACAUCCGUGACUUCACUGGAUCUGGAUGGCUGGAAUGCAGUGACACCAGCAUCAGAAGAUCCAGGUGGUCAAAGGCGUCGAGUAACAUCGCAAAGAACGGAUACAUGCUCUUCUAUGUGAAGAGCUCAGCUGCAGUUGGUUGAUGCUGUUUUAAAGAAGAAGGGAACCACAUCUAAAGCCAAAAAUCAGCCUAUAGUGAAGAUCCUUCUGUGGUUCCUCCGGCUUCCAGCCUCCAAGUGCCGAUGCAUCUGCCUUCUUUGAUUGCUGCUGGUCAUCAUGGGAAUCAAAUCUUUAUAGAUAGAUAGAGAAGUAAAUAGAAUGAUAGAUAGAACUAUAGAACAAUAGAUGGAACAAUAGACAGACAGACAGACAGACAGACAGACAGACAGACAGACAGACGAUAGAUAGAUAGAUAGAUAGAUAGAUAGAUAGAUAGAUAGAUAGUUAGAUG
This is a long non-coding RNA of Onychostoma macrolepis, 1132 nucleotides long. RefSeq lists it as uncharacterized. The transcript has 5 exons. Lineage: Eukaryota; Metazoa; Chordata; Actinopteri; Cypriniformes; Cyprinidae. The record is from RefSeq and is a predicted model, not a curated record.